GAUGAACGCUGGCGGCGUGCCUAAUACAUGCAAGUCGAGCGAACAGAUAAGGAGCUUGCUCCUUUGACGUUAGCGGCGGACGGGUGAGUAACACGUGGGUAACCUACCUAUAAGACUGGGAUAACUUCGGGAAACCGGAGCUAAUACCGGAUAACAUUUGGAACCGCAUGGUUCUAAAGUGAAAGAUGGUUUUGCUAUCACUUAUAGAUGGACCCGCGCCGUAUUAGCUAGUUGGUAAGGUAACGGCUUACCAAGGCGACGAUACGUAGCCGACCUGAGAGGGGGAUCGGCCACACUGGAACUGAGAAACGGUCCAGACUCCUACGGGAGGCAGCAGUAGGGAAUCUUCCGCAAUGGGCGAAAGCCUGACGGAGCAACGCCGCGGGAGUGAUGAAGGGUUUCGGCUCGUAAAACUCUGUUAUUAGGGAAGAACAAACGUGUAAGUAACUGUGCACGUCUUGACGGUACCUAAUCAGAAAGCCACGGCUAACUACGU
Molecule: ribosomal RNA, 496 nt
Filed under: uncultured bacterium
Lineage: Bacteria
Description: partial 16S ribosomal RNA
Rfam family: Bacterial small subunit ribosomal RNA
Source: RNAcentral